RNAcentral lists this ribosomal RNA (265 nucleotides) under uncultured bacterium. Its description in RNAcentral is "partial 16S ribosomal RNA". It matches the Rfam family "Bacterial small subunit ribosomal RNA", at positions 524 to 790 of the family's 1533-position model. The record is from RNAcentral.
UACGUAGGGGGCGAGCGUUGUCCGGAUUUAUUGGGCGUAAAGAGCUCGUAGGCGGCUUGUCGCGUCGACUGUGAAAUCCCGCGGCUCAACUGCGGGUCUGCAGUCGAUACGGGCAGGCUAGAGUUCGGUAGGGGAGACUGGAAUUCCUGGUGUAGCGGUGAAAUGCGCAGAUAUCAGGAGGAACACCCGUGGCGAAGGCGGCUCUCUGGGACGUGACUGACGCUGAGACGCGAAAGCGUGGGGAGCGAACAGGAUAGAAACCUGG